Molecule: ribosomal RNA, 446 nt
Filed under: uncultured bacterium
Lineage: Bacteria
Description: bacterial SSU rRNA
Rfam family: Bacterial small subunit ribosomal RNA
Source: RNAcentral
CCUACGGGGGGCUGCAGUGGGGAAUUUUGCACAAUGGGCGGAAGCCUGAUGCAGCGACGCCGUGUGGGGGAUGAAGGCCUUCGGGUUGUAAACUCCUUUCGUCAGGGACGAAGUUUGUUUGACGGUACCUGGAUAAGAAGCACCGGCUAACUACGUGCCAGCAGCCGCGGUAAUACGUAGGGUGCGAGCGUUGUCCGGAUUUACUGGGCGUAAAGGGCUCGUAGGUGGUGUGUUGCGUCGUCUGUGUAAUCCAGGGGCUUAACUUUUGGUUGGCAGGCGAUACGGGCAUUGCUUGAGUGCUGUAGGGGAGACUGGAAUUCCUGGUGUAGCGGUGAAAUGCGCAGAUAUCAGGAGGAACACCGAUGGCGAAGGCAGGUCUCUGGGCAGUUACUGACGCUGAGGAGCGAGAGCAUGGGUAGCGAACAGGAUUAGAUACCCCUGUAGUC